GAUGAACGCUGGCGGCGUGCCUAAUACAUGCAAGUCGAGCGAACAGACGAGGAGCUUGCUCCUCUGACGUUAGCGGCGGACGGGUGAGUAACACGUGGAUAACCUACCUAUAAGACUGGGAUAACUUCGGGAAACCGGAGCUAAUACCGGAUAAUAUAUUGAACCGCAUGGUUCAAUAGUGAAAGACGGUUUUGCUGUCACUUAUAGAUGGAUCCGCGCCGCAUUAGCUAGUUGGUAAGGUAACGGCUUACCAAGGCGACGAUGCGUAGCCGACCUGAGAGGGGGCGCGGACAGAAGGACACAGAGACCCGGAGCGGACGCAGACGGGAGGCAGAAGGAGGGAAUCGUACAUGAAGGGAGAAAGCGUGAAGGAGCAACUAAUCGGGAGUGAUGAAGGUCGUCGGAUCGUAAGAAUCUGGGAUUAGGGAAGAACAAAGAUGAAAGUAACUAGGAACGUCUGGAGGGGGCAUAAUAAGAAGGACACGGAGAACUAAGGG
RNAcentral lists this ribosomal RNA (497 nucleotides) under uncultured bacterium. RNAcentral's name for it is "partial 16S ribosomal RNA". It matches the Rfam family "Bacterial small subunit ribosomal RNA", at positions 28 to 507 of the family's 1533-position model. The record is from RNAcentral.